Molecule: transfer RNA, 73 nt
Filed under: Danionella translucida
Lineage: Eukaryota; Metazoa; Chordata; Actinopteri; Cypriniformes; Danionidae
Also listed under: 1 other name
Rfam family: tRNA
About the family: Transfer RNA (tRNA) molecules are approximately 80 nucleotides in length. Their secondary structure includes four short double-helical elements and three loops (D, anti-codon, and T loops).
Source: Rfam by way of RNAcentral
GCCUGGCUAGCUCAGUCGGUAGAGCAUGAGACUCUUAAUCUCAGGAUCGUGGGUUCGAGCCUCACGUUGGGCG